This 261-nucleotide ribosomal RNA is filed under the name Conticribra weissflogii. RNAcentral's name for it is "partial Bacterial large subunit ribosomal RNA". It matches the Rfam family "Bacterial large subunit ribosomal RNA", at positions 322 to 584 of the family's 2925-position model. The record is from RNAcentral. Lineage: Eukaryota; Bacillariophyta; Thalassiosirophyceae; Thalassiosirales; Thalassiosiraceae.
GAAUUGUGAAUGAAAAGGUUGGAAGAUCUGGCCAAAGAAGGUGAUAGCCCUGUAGAGAGUCCCAUGGUUCGAUUCUGUAAGUAAAACGCAGCGUGUUUGAAUUAGGAUCGCUUCGUAGCGAGAAAGGGGGACCACCCUCUAAGCCCAAGUAUUCCUCAAUGACCGAUAGCGUACAAGUACCGUGAGGGAAAGGUGAAAAGAACCCUAGGAAAGGGAGUGCAAUAGAAAGAAAUCCGAUGCGAACAAUCAGUCGAAGGAAUU